RNAcentral lists this unclassified non-coding RNA (806 nucleotides) under Hevea brasiliensis (rubber tree). The record is from RNAcentral. Lineage: Eukaryota; Viridiplantae; Streptophyta; Magnoliopsida; Malpighiales; Euphorbiaceae.
AGACGACGCUGCCAAAUUCUCAGAAAUUCAUCAAUGGCUCCGAAGACAGCAAGAGUUAGCCGAAACCCCGAUCUCAUUCGAGGGGUUGGCAAAUACUCGAGGUCCAAGAUGUACCAUAAGCGAGGUCUCUGGGCAAUCAAGGCAAAAAAUGGAGGUGUCUUUCCUCGCCACGAUGCCAAGCCUAAGGCCGAUGCUCCAGCAGAGAAGCCGCCCAAAUUUUACCCUGCCGACGAUGUCAAGAAACCACUUGUUAACAAGCGCAAAGCCAAGCCCACCAAACUUAGGUCUAGUAUUACUCCUGGAACCGUUCUUAUCAUUCUUACUGGAAGGUUUAAGGGAAAGAGGGUCGUGUUCUUGAAGCAACUUCCAUCUGGGUUGCUUUUGGUGACUGGACCAUUCAAGGUCAAUGGUGUUCCUUUGAGGCGUGUGAAUCAGUCAUACGUGAUUGCAACCUCCACCAAGGUCGACAUUGCAGGAGUCAAUGUGGAGAAGUUUGAUGACAAAUAUUUCUCCAAGGAAGUUCAGAAGAAGAAAAAGAAGGGAGAAGGAGAAUUUUUCGAGGCAGAGAAGGAGGAAAAAACUGCAGUCCCACAAGACAAAAAGGAUGAUCAGAAGGCCGUGGACUCAGCCCUCCUAAAGUCCAUCGAGGCAGUUGCAGACUUAAAGACCUACUUAGCUGCAAGGUUUUCUCUAAAGGCAGGCAUGAAACCGCAUGAGCUUGUUUUCUAGAUAUUUUCUCUUUGGUGCUGAUACUUGUGGAAUUAUUUGAUCCCUACAAUCUUCUUGUUCAUGUUUUGUUAUGAGGA